UACGUAGGGAGCGAGCGUUGUCCGGAUUCAUUGGGCGUAAAGAGCUCGUAGGCGGCUUGGCAAGUCGGGUGUGAAAACUCCAGGCUCAACCUGGAGACGCCACCCGAUACUGCCAUGGCUAGAGUCCGGUAGGGGACCACGGAAUUCCUGGUGUAGCGGUGAAAUGCGCAGAUAUCAGGAGGAACACCGGUGGCGAAGGCGGUUCGCUGGGCCGUAGCUGACGCUGAGGCGCGACAGCGUGGGGAGCAAACAGG
Molecule: ribosomal RNA, 254 nt
Filed under: uncultured bacterium
Lineage: Bacteria
Description: partial 16S ribosomal RNA
Rfam family: Bacterial small subunit ribosomal RNA
Source: RNAcentral